Molecule: ribosomal RNA, 492 nt
Filed under: uncultured bacterium
Lineage: Bacteria
Description: partial 16S ribosomal RNA
Rfam family: Bacterial small subunit ribosomal RNA
Source: RNAcentral
AGUGAACGCUGGCGGUAGGCCUAACACAUGCAAGUCGAACGGCAGCACAGUAAGAGCUUGCUCUUACGGGUGGCGAGUGGCGGACGGGUGAGGAAUAUAUCGGAAUCUACUUUUUCGUGGGGGAUAACGUAGGGAAACUUACGCUAAUACCGCAUACGACCUACGGGUGAAAGCAGGGGAUCUUCGGACCUUGCGCGAUUGAAUGAGCCGAUGUCGGAUUAGCUAGUUGGCGGGGUAAAGGCCCACCAAGGCGACGAUCCGUAGCUGGUCUGAGAGGAUGGUCGGCCACACUGGAGCUGAGACACGGACCAGGCGCCUACGGGAGGCAGCAGUGGGGAAUAGUGGGCAAUGGGCGCAAGCCUGAUCCAGCCAGACCGCGUGGGUGAAGAAGGCCUUCGGGUUGUAAAGCCCUUUUGUUGGGAAAGAAAAGCAGCAGGUUAAUACCCCGCUGUUCUGACGGUACCCAAAGAAUAAGCACCGGCUAACUUCGUG